UACGGAGGAUGCAAGCGUUAUCCGGAAUGAUUGGGCGUAAAGCGUCCGCAGGUGGUUUUGUAAGUCUGUUGUUAAAGCGUCAUGCUCAACAUGAUUACAGCAAUGGAAACUACAAGACUAGAGUGCGUUAGGGGUGAAGGGAAUUCCUGGUGUAGCGGUGAAAUGCGUAGAGAUCAGGAAGAACACCGGUGGCGAAGGCGCUUCACUAUGCCGCAACUGACACUGAGGGACGAAAGCUAGGGGAGCGAAUGGG
Molecule: ribosomal RNA, 253 nt
Filed under: uncultured bacterium
Lineage: Bacteria
Description: partial 16S ribosomal RNA
Rfam family: Bacterial small subunit ribosomal RNA
Source: RNAcentral